RNAcentral lists this long non-coding RNA (15065 nucleotides) under Gossypium barbadense (sea-island cotton). RNAcentral's name for it is "long non-coding RNA (GBAR_LNC009964)". Lineage: Eukaryota; Viridiplantae; Streptophyta; Magnoliopsida; Malvales; Malvaceae. The record is from RNAcentral.
GGACUUAAUCAAAUUGAUUUCCUAGAAAUAUACAUGACGUUAAGGUAUGGCAAUGGCGGUUUGCAUGUCUAGGAUUGGAUCCGAAGGGAGUUUGGUACUUAAGCAGUCCGAUGGGCUCACCUCCUCUUUUCCGGUUUCCUACCUGGUGCACAGCUUCCAUUCACUUUACCCUAUAAUGAAAUCAUCUUUUAAAACACUCAGUAAGUUUUCUUUCUGGAUCGAAAAUGUUUUGAAUGCUUCGAUGUGGCAUGUCGGAUCCGGCCUUAACGUCUGGGCCGGGUAAGGGGUGUUACAGUCAGUGUAGUCAGAUUAGAACUGUAUGUGAAUUUCCAGAUGUAUUCCCUGAAGAGUUACCGGGAUUACCACCUGACAGAGAAAUAGAAUUUGCAAUUGAAGUAUACCCGGGUACAGAUCCAGUGUCAAUACCUCCAUAUCGUAUGUCACCUACUGAAUUGAAGGAGUUGAAGGUACAACUGCAAGAUUUAUUGGAACGAGGUUUUAUACGACCUAGUACCUCACCGUGGGGAGCUCCAGUGUUAUUUGUUAAAAAGAAAGAUGGUUCGAUGCGGUUGUGUAUUGAUUAUCGGAAACUGAACAAGGUGACAAUCAAAAAUAAAUAUCCAUUACCACGUAUUGAUGAUUUAUUUGAUCAAUUGAAAGGAGCUUCAGUAUUUUCAAAGAUUGAUUUAAGAUCGGGCUACUAUCAGUUAAAGGUGAAAGAAAGUGAUGUACCGAAGACAGCAUUUUGUACAAGAUAUGGUCAUUACGAGUUCUUAGUGAUGCCAUUUAGGUUAACAAAUGCCCCAGCUACUUUUAUGGAUCUUAUGAAUCGAAUUUUCCAGCCGUACUUGGAUCAGUUCGUGGUAGUUUUUAUUGAUGACAUUUUGGUAUAUUCAAAGUCCGAAUCUGAACACGAGCAGCAUCUCUGAAUUGUUCUGCAAACGUUACGAGAGAAACAAUUGUAUGAGAAAUUGAGUAAAUGCGAAUUUUGGUUAUCAGAUGUGGGUAUUUCUUGGUCACGUGGUAUCAGCAGAUAGAAUUAGAGUGGAUCCAAAGAAGAUUGAUGCAAUCGUUCAAUGGAAGACUCCCAAAAAUGUGUCAGAGGUACGUAGUUUUCUUGGAUUAGCUGGGUAUUAUCGAAGGUUUGUGAAUGGAUUUUCAAAAAUAGCUUUACCGAUGACAAAAUUAUUGCAAAAGAAUGUUCCAUUUGUUUGGAAUGAUCAAAGUCAAGAAAGUUUUAUGAAAUUGAAGUAGAUGCUGACAGAGACGCCAGUUUUGACUUUACCAGAAUCAGGAAAAGAUUUUAUUGUGUAUAGCGAUGCUUCUUUAAAUGGGCUCAGGUGUGUUCUGAUGCAAAAUGGGAAAGUGAUAGCUUAUGCUUCUCGGCAAUUGAAACCACAUGAACGUAAUUAUCCGACACAUGAUCUGGAAUUAGUAGCCGUGAUCUUUGCUUUGAAAAUAUGGAGACAUUAUUUAUACGGUGAAAAAUGUUACAUUUAUACAGAUCAUAAGUCUCAAGUAUCUUCUAUCACAGAAAGAGUUGAAUUUGAGGCAGCGUCGAUAGAUAGAACUUUUAAAAGAUUAUGAUUGUGUUAUUGAUUACCAUCCAGGUAAAGCUAACGUAGUAGCUGAUGCAUUGAGUAGGAAAGCAGCAAUUGAAUUGUGAGCGAUGUUUGCACAACUCAGUAUUAGUCAUGAUGGAGGUUUAUUGGCUGAAUUAAGAAUUAAACCAGUGAUGUUUGAACGGUUCAAGUCAGCUCAAUUAGAAGAUGACAAGUUAAUGAAGAAAAAAGAAAUGGUUCAGAGUGACACAGCAGGGAAUUUUAGUAUUAAUGAGCAUGAUUGUUUGAGAUACCGAGAUCGGAUUUGUAUUCCAAUCAAUUCAGAGAUUAAAGAAUUAAUUCUUCGAGAAGCACAUGACGGUCCAUUUGCUCUACACCCUGGAGGCACAAAGAUAUACCGUGAUUUACGAGAAUUGUACUGGUGGCCAAGGAUGAAAAAAGAUAUAGUUGAAUAUGUCAGUAAAUGUUUGGUUUAUCAGCGGGUGAAAGCAGAGCAUCAGGUUCCUACUAGAUUAUUACAGCCAAUUACUAUUCUAGAAUGGAAAUGGGAUCGUGUUACGAUGGAUUUUAUUAUGGGAUUGCCAUUGUCUGCAAGUAAGAAAAAUUCUAUAUGGGUAAUAGUUGAUCGACUCAUAAAAUCGGCUCAUUUUAUAGUUGUCAGAAUGAAUUGGUCACUUCAAAAACUUACAGAGGUCUAUAUUCGAGAAAUUAUAAGGUUGCAUGGUAUACCGGCUUCUAUAAUUUAUGAUCGAGAUCCUCGGUUUACAUCGAGAUUCUGGAAAUAGUUACAUGAGUCUUUGGGUACUAAACUUAAUUUCAGUACAGCAUUUCAUCCACAGAUUGAUGGGCAAUCUGAGCGAGUAAUUCAAAUUUUGGAAGAUAUGCUUCGAGCUUGUGUUAUUGAUUUUAAAUCUGGUUGGGAACGUUACUUGCCGUUAGCUGAAUUUGUUUAUAAUAACAGUUAUCAAUCCAGUAUUCAGAUGGCUCCGUAUGAAGCUCUAUAUGGUAGAAAAUGUCGAUCACAUGUAUGUUGGACAGAAUUAAAUGAAAAGAAGAUAAUUGGACCUAAAUUGAUUCGGGAAACAGAAGAAACAGUCAAGAAGAUUCAACAGAGAUUAAAAGCAGCUUUUGACAGACAAAAAUCUUAUGCUGAUCUGAAACAUCGGGACAUUGAAUACUCAGUCGGGGAUAAAGUGUUUCUCAAAGUUUCUCCUUGGAAGAAAGUAUUAAGAUUUGGCCGAAAAGGGAAGUUAAGUCCUCGAUUUAUCGGACCAUAUGAAGUUAUAGAGAGAGUUGGACCAGUUGCUUACCGAUUGGCUUUACCUCUGGAAUUACAACAAAUUCAUGAUGUUUUUCAUGUUUCCAUGUUACGAAGGUAUCGAUCGGAUCCAUCUCAUAUUAUCUCUACUAAAAACAUUGAGAUUAGACCAGAUUUGUCAUAUGAAGAGGAACUAGUUUAAAUACUAGCUCGAGAAGUGAAAGAGUUAAGAAACAAACGAGUUCCUCUGGUAAAAGUACUGUGGAGAAGCCAUAGUGUAGAAGAAGCAACGUGGGAGCCAGAGGAAACUAUGAGAUCACACUAUCCUCACUUAUUUCCAAGUAAAAUUUCAAGGACGAAAUUUUUUUAAGGGGGGAGGAAAUGUAACGACCCAAAAUCCGUGGGCACCGAAAAAAUGUGUUAUCGGGCCUCCGUCUUAGUGAAAUAAGUUCGAAAAUAAUUAUUAAAAAAUAUUUAUGAGUCUAGUAGUGUGUUUAAUUAGGUUUUAAUUAAGUAAAUUUAGCUUAAUUUAGAGUAAUUAGUAAAAAGGAUUAAAUUGAAUAAGGGUAAAAGUUUAAUUAUAGAUUAAAGAAAAACUAGGACUUAAGAGGAAAUUAAACCAUUUCCUAUAGUUAAGGCGGUUUAACUUGGAAAAAUAUCAAAGAUUUUAUUGAUUAAAAUAUAUAUAUUUAUUUAAUAAUUAAGUAUAUUAUAUUAUAUUAUAUUCUUAUAUUCUUAUAUUAUAUUAUAUUAUAUUAUAUUAUAUUAUUAUAUAUAAAAGAAACAAAUAAGUUAAAAGAAAUAGAAAUGAAAACGAAAACAAAGAAGAAACAGGGGAGAAAGAAGAAAAAAAAAGGAAAAUUUAGGUUUCAAGGUUCAAAAUUAAAUUGGUAAGUUUAAUCAAGUCAUUUUCUUAUAAAUUUGAUGUUUUUAGAAUCUUAGAGUGAAAUACUCUUGAAUUUAAGUUGAAAUUUUGAAAGUUAAUAGAUUUUUGGGUAGGGUUAUGUUGAACAAAUGAUGGAAUUGGGGGCUUAUUUGAUAGAAAUUUUGAUUAGAAUUGAAUAAAGGAUUGAAUUGUAAACUAAGUUAUAAGUUUUGAGUUUUAGGGAUUAAAUUGAAAUAAAUUCGAAAUUAUGAAAAUAUGAUAAAAAUUAAGUGGUUAGAUGUGAGUUUGGUAAGAAAUUGAGUAGUAAAAAGGUAUGAAUUGAGAAAGAAAAAUAUAUAGGUUUAGUUGGGAUUAAAUUGGAAUUAAAGUAAAAGUUAGAUGAAAAUUUCAGCAUUUAAAUUGUGUUAUGCUAAUAAUUGUGAAAUUAUUUUCAUUGUUCGUAGCUAAUAUCGAGCCUGAAGCAUCGGCCCAAAAAGGAAAAGGAAAAAUCGUCGAGGAUUAAAUCCGAAAAGAAUUCUGGUUUGUAUCACUAUAACUCAAGCUUUAUAAUUAAUAUGUGUUUAAUUUAAUAUGAAUAUGUGGUAAGUAUUUUAAGGUAAGUAUUUAAUGAAAUAAUAAAAUUUGUGAUUGGGUAUUAAAAUUGAGAUUGAUACUGAACUGAAUUAUUAGAUUCUGAAUAUUGUAUUGAAUACCGAAUUGAACUGUGAAAUUACUGAAUAAUGUUACGUAUAUUGCAUUGAACUAUAAAUUUUCUAAUGAAGUAAAUUAUUGUAUUACUGUGAAAAUUGAUCAAAAUAAUAAAUUAUAAUUAAUAUUGAAUCGAAAUGGAAAUUACACUGAAAAAUGAUUUAAAUACCCUAUUAACUAGUCGGGCUAGUCGGAUAUAGUUGGCAUGCCAUAGGAUAUGGAAGGGUACGGGUUUUUGUCGGCUUAAUGAUCAGGCACUUAUGUGCCGACUACUGUUACUGUUAUCAUUACUGUUACCGAUUCGACACUUUGUGUGUCGAAUACUGUUACCGUUACUGUUACUGUUUCGGAUUUGUUCCGAUGAGGUACUCUAUGUACCGUACUGUUACUGUUACUGUUCCGGCUUCGGCCAAUGAGGCACUAUGUGCCGUACUGGUGUGUUGGUUGGAAUCCGUGUAUCUGCCGAGUCCGAGUCAAGUUAAUAGGGAUAAAUAAAAUAAAUCUAUUGAUAAAACUAUAUUUGAAUAAUAUGUCCUAUGUGAAAGUUGAGAAUUGAAAUAAAGAAAUAAGAAUGGUAUAUAUAUAAUUGAAUGAUAACAUGAAAGAUUGAAUUGUUCAUUAAGUGAUGAUAAUUGUAAUGUAAAAGUAUGUGUGUGAUUUAAUAUAUUUAAUUAUAAACUGAAUUAUAGUGAUACCACUGAGUAUAUGCAUACUCAGCGUACGGUUGUUUCCGUGCGCAGGUUGUAGAAGUCAAGUACUGAACCAACAUCCAAAGCCAGACCCGACUUCAGCAAACUUUUUGGUGAUGUAUAUUUUCUUUAGUAAUGUGGCAUGUACAUAGGAUGUGUAUAAAAGUUAUUAUGUUUUGAAUAUAAAUGUUUUAAAAUAUUAGAAUUACAAGUCUAAGAAUUAUAAUGAAAAAAAGUUUAUCCAUUUCAAUUUAAUUAGUACAAUGAUAAAUUUAAAUUGAUAUUAUGUUGAGUAAGUUGAUUAGAGGUAUUUAGAAUAGAAAAUGAAUGUGUGAAAUAAUUGGUUGAAUUAGUUAUGCUUGAAAUGGAUAUGGUUUUAAUUGCAGGGGGAUUUAUGUAAAAAUAAGCAGAAAUGUUGUCGAAAUUCAUAAAAAAAAUGGAAUACUUCAACGAGUCCCGUUUCACUUAAAUGUAAGAUUUAGAUUUGAAUAGUUCAAUAUAGGGAUUUAGUAAUUAAAUUAUGCUAUGAAUGUUAUUUUAUUAGUGAAUUAUUCAUAAGUUGUCUGAUACGUCCGGUAAUGCCUCGUAACUCUGUUCUAGCGACGGUUCAGGGUUAAGGGGUGUUACAGUAUGGGUAUACUCAGUGGUAUUUCUAUAAUCCAAACACUUAGUAAAAUAAAAUAUAACAAUCACUUAAAAUCAUAUAACAAUCAUAACUAUUCAAUUAUUUAAUUCAUAGAUAAAUUUAUUGUAACUUAUUUCAUUCUUUUCACUUACUAACCUAUAUAGCUUUCCACGAUUUAUUCACAAGUAUUAAACAAUUAUAAUAUUCACUUUUAUCCAAUCCAGAGCUACAUAAUUCAUUUAUCUUAAUCAUACUUUAGUUCACUGUUUAAUAUCAAUAAACUAUAUUCAACUACUCACUUUUCAAUCAGUGUUCUGUACAGAUCUAUUUCAAUAACAGUCAUUACCAUUCAUAUCAAAUCAACUUGCUAUCCCAGAUAGCUUUCAUUGUAUAAUACGAUUCGUGUGUUUCAGUUCACAUUUCAAUUCUUCAUUCAGUAUCAAUUUGAUCACUGUUAUAUUUAAUAACCCCUAUUAACAUGACUCGGACUCAGAUGGAUACACGGAUCCAACCAAACAUACCAGAAUGGCACCCGAUGCCUCAUCGAAUAGUUUAAAGCAAUAUAGUGACACUCAGUGUCUCAUCGGCCCAGCCGAAGUAAAGUGGUACACAGUACCUUAUCGAAUCUAUCUGAAGAAAUAUAGUGACACCCAGUGUCUCAUCGACUUGAGGUCGAAGUAUCCCUGAACUCUUCCAAUCCUAUUGCAUGCCAACUAUAUCCGACCUAGCCCGAUACUGUUAAUAGGGUUUCCGAUUCACUUUCCAGUUUCCAAUCAUUAUACACUUUAACAAUCACAUUUAUUCCCAAUUCAAUAUAACUCAAUUCACUUUUCAAUAACAAAUAUUCAAUUUCACAAUAAUCACAUUUUUCUAUCAAUUUCAUCACACUUCCAACUACAUAUAUUUUCCAAUAUAACAAAUAUUUAUUAUUCAAUUUCCACAUCAAUAUUCAUUUCAAUUCAAACAUUCACAUAUAUUCAUAAAUCAAUUCAAUAUAAUCAAUAGUCAAUCCAAUUCAAAUUAUCAUCUCAAAACACCUAAUAUAUAUAUAUCAAAUAAUAAAUCCAACAAUUUAAGUAUUAAGUUCGGAUUAUAGAAAUACAAACCGUAAUUUCCGAGCUAACUCUCGUUGUCUUUGUCUUUUUCCUUGCUUAGUCGAGAUUUCCCGAAACAACAUUAGCUACGGGAAUUAAAAUAAUCAUACCAUUAAAUUUCAGCACUCAUUAUAACAAAUAAUUGAAUUUCUAUUCAAUUUACACCUUAUUUUCAAUUAGGUCCUAACUAAUUCAUUCACUUUACUAACUUAAUUCAUACUCUAUUUCUAUUCAAGUUCCAUCCAAACUCAAAUUUAAUGACUAAAUUUUCAGCUUAUUUCACUAGUUUCGAAAUUUCCUCAAAUUAGCCCUUCAACAUAAAACUUAUGAAUUACUUUCAAAUUCAAUCCUUAUUUCAUUUCUAACUUGAAUUUCUAUCAAUUUAGCCCUUAUUUCAUCAUUUUACUCAACAUGAACAUUAUCUAGAAAUCUAAUAACUUGCAAAAUAUCAACUUAAUUUUAUCAAAAUCUUGUUCCAAAGCUACUAAAACAUCAAAAUUAUGUAAAAAAUGCUAAAUUGACUUACCUAUUAAAGCUUAAAGCUUCAAAACUUAAAUUCCUCCUUUUCUCUCUUUCUCUUUUUCCUUCAUUCUUUCCCUUUUCUGUUUUCAUUCUUCAUUAUGUUUCUUUUUAUUUCUUUUACUUUAUAUAUAUAUAUAUAUAAUAUAACAAUAAUAACUAUAUAAUAUCUAUUUUACAUUUGUAUACAUAUAUAUUAUUACACUUGUCUUCUUUUUUUUUCUAUUUAUUAUAUAAAUAUCUUUUACUUAAUAAUAAUAUAUAUUUUACUAAUAUACUUAUAUAAUAAGUAAAUAUACAUGUAUUUUACAAAUAUAUAUAUUAGUAUCACACAUGUCACCAUAUGCACCAUACAUUUGUCUUACUUUUAUUUAUUUAUCAUAUAAAUAUCUUAUAAUAUAAUUAUUUAAUUAAUAAAUGUCUUUUUUAAAUAAUAAAUAUCUAUUUAAUAUCAAAUACAUGUAUUCCAAAUGUAUGUAUUUUUAUUAACACACUUGUAUCAAAUCAUUACCAUACACAUAUAUUUAUUUAAUUUAUUUCAUAAUAUAAUAUAAAUUCAAUUAAUAAUAAUAACAUUAAUAAAUAUCAAUUAUAAAACCAUAAUAAUAAUUUAUUAUACAUAUUUAUGCAUAAAAAUAAAAGAUUUUUAUGCAUUUGCCGCCUCACUUAGGAAAAAUGGCAUAAUUCCAUUUUGGUCCUUUUUAUUUUCUUUUGAUCUACAAUUAAACUUUCACACUUUAUUCAAUUUAAUUUUUUUUUAUCUAAUUAUCCUUAAUUUAAGCUAAUUCACUUCAUUAAACUCUAAUUAAUCACUCACUUGACUUCAUAAAUAUUUUUAAUAAAUGUUUACGAGUCCAUUUUUCAGAAAUGGAGACCCGAAAAUAUAUUUUUCCGAUAACUGUAAAGUUCGAGUCAUUACAAAUAUUCCUUUGGCACAUGAAAUAUAUAACACAUUGACUCAUAAUACUUCAUAUCCACUAUCAAAUUAUCAUUACAUUUCACCUAUCACUUUUACAUAUUUACAAUUUAAUCAUUAAUUUCAUAAAAUUAAAUAUUCACUAACAUUUCAGUUUAAUCUCACUUAGCAUUGAAACUUAUACCAUAAACACUUCAUUAAAAUUCACCAUUACUACUUUAUUACACAUCAAAUUUUGGUCACUUUUCUAUCUAGUAUUCUUUGCAUAAAUUUUAUUUCACUUACUUUACAAUCUUUUCAAUUUAGUCCCUACUAGCAUAUAUUUUCAUUAAUCACCAUCCCCUCAUUUAGUUUUCACUUCAUCGCUAUUUAUAAUUACACUUGAAUAUGUUAUUUCAAAAUCUUAGUACACUUAGUCACUUUUAUAUAUUUUACAUUUUGGUCUUUUUAAAUAUGGAAUUCGAGUAUCACUAGAAAUUCUCUUAAAUAUCACCUUUUAAUUAUUUCACUAGCAUUUCAUUUAAGCUCUUUAUCAUAAUAUUUUAUUUCACACUUAAAAUUUUUUACAUUUUUCAAUUUAGUCAUUUUUACUAUAAAUUCACUACACUUAAUUUAUUCACUUUGUUGUUGAAGCUAAUUUCAUAUAUUCACUUCUUUCUACAAGAAUUUCAUAAUAAAUAUUAACAUUUUCCUAUACAUAUGUGUAAUUAAAUCUUAAGAACACCAAUCUAACAAUCAGAAUAUAAUUCACAUAAAUUCUAAUUUGGUAAGGUAAGAUUCAUGGUGUACUUACCUCUCUUUUACUAGAAUUUUUAUUAUUUUUGCUUUAAUUAUGUUCCUUCACUUUGUCUCCAACACUUUCAUCAUUUCUUCUCUUUUUCUACUUCAUGAGCACAUCAAAUUAAUAAUCAAAACUCACACUAAAAUCACUUUCUUAUGUCACUACUUCAAUUAAACAUGAAUUUUAUAAGAAAUACUUGAAUUUCUUACCUUGUUCUCUCUAUAUCAAGCAUUAGCUUGAUUUCUCUCUCCUCUAAUUCUAUCUUUCUUGAAUCCAAAUUGGUAUUCAUGUUCACUACAGUCUUCUUCUUUUUUUUGUCAUUUUUCUCUCUUGGUGGCUAUUGAAAUUCUUUUAUUUCUAAGUGAAAAUGGUAAAUUUUGAUGGGAAGAACCAAAUUGAAAAAAAAAAGCAAAAGCUUCUCUUCAUAAAAAAUGGUGGACGACAAAGCUAAGAAAGAUGGAGAAAUUUUCAUCAUCUUUUCUUCUUCUUCUUUUUUGUUUUCUUAACAUUUUCAAUUAGUAAAAGAUCUAAAAUAAAAUGAUAUUAAAAUAAUAUUAACCAAUCAAAAUAUAACACCAAUAUUCAUAAUUAUCAUGAUGUUUCAUGAUAAUUAUUCUAAUUGGGAAAUGACUAUUUUGACCUCUCAACAUUCUUUACUAUUCUUUCUUUGAAUCAUUGGAUGCGCCUCGACAUGUGUGCACCGAGGCUAAGAAUCAAUACAAAAAUAAUUAUAAUCUUGCAGUGUACUGCAAAUAUGUCAGGUUGAAUUGUAAUAUUUGUAGUGUUAUAAUGGAACACUCGGAUAUUCCAAGAAUCAAACCCAAGAGAGUUCGGGGGCUAAAUGAUUCCUAAGCAACAAGAUGCAACCAAUAAGUCUAGCUAACUACUCGCUAGGUCCUAUAUUAUGACGAUUCAUAAUUGAGGUUAAUUACAAUGAUUAAUUACCUAACAUUAAAAAAGACCAAAUUGUAAAAUAGGAAAAUUUAAGAAAUUAACAACUUAAUAAACAAAGCAAUUGGUUGACCUCCAUGUUGUUGAUUAGUCUUUGGAUUAGGGAUCUAAAAAUCUUAAACUUUUAAUUAACUCAAUUUUUCCUCUCAAUCUCUAUUUUACCAAAUUAGACAUUUUAGUCUGGUUUAUCUUUCGAAUUUACCAAACUAAGUCAAGACAAUCAAAUCGAUGCUCUAUCACAUCUCGAAAACUGAGUUAAAAGAAAUUGGAGUAGUGAGACUAAGUGUAACAACCCGAUUUUGGGUCUAGUCAGAAUAGUGGUUUCGGAACCACUAAUUCAAGGCUGGAGAAAUUAUUUUUAAUAUUAUUUUAAGUGUUAUAGCAUGAUUAUAUGAGUGCAUGAAAAUUUUGGUGAAAUGAUUUUAACAAUUGCUUGCUUAAUUUCAAAAAAAAGACUAAAUUGCAUAAAGGGUAAAAGUUUUGUUUUACUAGAAAAUGGUGUUAAAUAACUAGAGAAUCAUAAUUAGGGGUCUUUAAAAAGCAAAUAGACCCAUUUUAUAGAGGUGGCCGGCCAUAGAGACAAAGAAAAUAGAAAAGUCAAAAUUAGGUGAAGUUAGUAACCUAUUUUAACUAGAAAUAAAAUAAAAUAAAACAAAAGGCUUCAUCUUUUUACCAUUCAUCUUCUCCACUGAAAAUAUCAGCAAGAAAACGGGUUUUUGAAGCUUGAAACUUUCAGCCAUUAAGUUCUCUUAUAAGUAAGUGAUUUUGAUGACUUUCUUGAUAAUUUUUGUACUUUUGGGACCCUUGUAACAUAAGCUAACUAAUGGGGGGCUAUUUUGCAAAUGGUUGAAAUUUUAGGAUUUUUCCAUGAAAAAUUUUGUGUUUUUUUCUGAAAUAUUAUGGAAGAAAAUGAGUUAUGGUUGUUAAAUAAACAACUUUUGUGAAGUGAUUUUCAUGAAAACCCCUAAAAUAGACCAUUUUGUAAAAGUUAUAAAAUAAGUAGUAAAGGUGUGAAAUAAUUGGAUUUGUGAGUUGUAAUAAUCUUAAAAUAGAUUUGGCUAGGCUUGGUUAAUGAGGAAAUUUGAUGAAAAAUCGAUUUACGAGCCUUGGGGCAAAAUUGUAAUUUUAUGAAAGUUUAAAGGCAAAACGGUUAUUUUUCCAAAAUAUGAAAUAUGAUAUGUCAUGAUUUAUGUGAUGAUUAAAUUAGUGAAUUUUAUCAUUUUAGAUCAAAAAAUAUGAAAUCCGGACCUAGACCGGGGGAAGACCAAGCUAGUAGGCUAAUUCAAUCUAGUCGCCCACUUUUUGUAUACCGAGGUAAGUUGCACGUAAAUAUUACAAUUCUAUUGUUAUUAUGCAUUAAAUUAUUGAUAUUGCAUGAAAUGUUCGAUUUUGUUACGAAUAUGCAUGAUGAAAUUUGAUGUGGUGAAACUCCCAGUUGAACCGUAGAAAUAGAUCUGAUAUCUAUGCCGUGAUACUAAGGUUAUGUAAACCAGUGUAAGACCAAGUCUGGGACAUGGCAUCAGCCUCAAUAUGUGAGCUAGUGUAAGAUCAUGUUUGGAACAUGGCAUCGGCAUUAUUAUGAGAGCUAGUAUAAGACCAUGUCUGGGACAUGGCAUCUGCCUCAAUAUGUGAGCCAGUGUAAGACCAUGUUUGGAACAUGACAUCGGUUUUGUUACGAGAGCUAGUGUAAGACCAUGUCUAGGACAUGGCAUCAGCAUCUUACUCUUUUGUAUGAGGCUUAUCGGGUAUCUAUUUAUUUUUCCAACUGGUUCAACGGGUAAUUUAAAGAUUAUAUCAUGAUUGAGAAAAAUUAUGAUUACGUUGCAAGUGGUACAGGUACCUACACGAAACUUAUAAGAAUGAGCUCGGGUUAUGUAUGUGAAUAGUAAGGAUGAAAUGAGUAAGUUAAGUCUAUAGUCAUUCGAGAAUCUUGUGCAAGUGUAUGAUAUGUUAUGGGUAUGAUGUUACUUGGUAAAGCAAUGUUAAUUAUUUACUUGUAACUUACUAAUCUUUAUGCUUACUUCCUCUCUUUUCCAUUUUUUUAUAGUGUCGCCAAGCUAGGUCGGGAAUCAAAGGAUAUCGGAGGCAUUGAUCACACUAUCACCUCAAGUUUUUGGUAUAGUUAGUUUAAAUGUUUUUAAGCGUGGCAUGUAUAGGGAUUUGAUCCUUUGUUUAGUGUCAUGUUGGUUUAGCCACAAGUGUUGACUCAUAUGGAUGUGAUAUUCAUUUUGUAUAGGCCAUGGAUGAUUGCUAAUAUUUAUUAUUGCUAAAUACAUUUAAUGAGGAUUAUCAUAGAUGUGGAUGUUUGGUUGUGGCUGUUUUGGUUAUGUAUGUUUAUGCUUGGAUUGGAGAUGUUUGAUGUUGUGUAGGUUGGUGCAAGUAAAGGUGGCAAAAAGGCUUUGUAGAUAGCCUUGUUAUUGUCCAUACGGGCAGACACACGGGCGUGUGCCUAUGCCAUGUGUGACACACGGUCUACUCCAUGGAAGUGUAGUCAGGUCGUGUGUCCCUUGCACCUAAAUUUGGCAAAACAGAAUGCCAGUAGUCACCACACAGGCGGAGAUACGAUUGUGUGUCUCAACCGUGUGAAGGACACGGCCUAGUAUACGGGCGUGUACCAUGGUCAUGUGCCCCUAAAGGGUUGAUGAUGUCAGAAAUAGAAUGUCAAGGUUUUUGUACAUGGGCUGAGACACGAGCGUGUUAUGGCCAUGCGAGGGACACAGGCCAUGGACACAGGCGUGUGCCAAGCCAUGUGAAAACCCUUGUAGGUUCAAAUCGAGAAAUAAAUUGGCAUAGGCUAGGGACACCGGCGUGUCCUGAUAUGUUCAGGUCGUGUGAACCACACGGGCCUUCAACAUGGCUAUGUUAAGAGGACACAUGGGCGUGUCGCCCUGACACACGGGCGUGUGCCCUUGGUUGCAUUGAAAUUUUUUAAAGUUUUUAAAAAGUGUUCGGUUUAUUCCCGAACUAUUUCUAAAGCGUGUUUUGGGCCUUUUAGGUCCAUAUUAGGGACGUUAAGAGGAAGUUUGAAAGUUUUUAAAUUUAAGCAAAAUUUUACGACCCAAAAAUGUUUGUAUGUAUGUGUUUAAGUUUAGUAAAGCCUCGUACCCUGCCCCGGCGUGGGAUAUGGGUAAGGGUUGUUACACCAAGAGUGGUCAUAUCCUGAAUUUUUAGUUUAGAUUGUGAAAAUUUUAUCGAGUUAAUUUGGUUUAAUGGUUAAGUGUAGAGUUUGUGUGAGAGAGGUCUUAUGUUCAAAUCAUGUGUGUGCAAAGUGAAAAUUAUUUUUGUUUUUAACUCUAAGGAAAAGUCUAAUAUGGAUAAUUAAUAAGUGUUAAUGGGUUUUUUUUUAAUAAAAAUGAGGGAUUAACUCCUAAUUUCACUCCACCGUUCACUAAUUUCCAUUUCCCCUUCUUUUUGUCAAGUUUCUUUUUCCUCUUUUUUCCCUUUCUUUUGUUUUUCUUGAAUUUCUUUCAUCUUUUUUCUUUUUGUCAUUAAAUCAUUGUAGAACUACCUUUUUUACUCUUCUUUUGCGAUUAUAAACAAUAAGUGUAAGUAAAGUUUUUUAUUUUUUUAUAUUAAAAUAUUUAACUCGUUCUUGAAAAAGGUAUAAGUUGUUAGUGUCAUUUUUGUUUUUUUUUUGUGGUGUUAAGUGUUUCUAGUGGUCUUUGAUUAGGCGAAGUGUGCGACAUUUAGGAUCUUCUGAUGGAGUAGCUACUGUUUUGGCACUGUUUCGUUGUGAGGUAAGUGCUCGUAAAUUGGUUUUGGGACUAAUUUUUUGAAAAAGGAGGGUUAUCAAGUGAAAUAUUAGGGUUAAUUUGUGUUUUUUAAUCAAGGCAUUUUGGUGUCAUAUGUAUGAUUUGGAGUGAGUUAUUGUGUGGCCUAUAAAAAUAACAUCAGGUGUGUGAAUCUAACCCGAAACAUCGAUUAGAACACGAAAGAACUCAAAAAUAAAAGUUUUUGAAACUGUUCUGUGUCACACGGUCAUGUGGUAGGCCAUGUGGCAGAUCGUUUGAAUCACACGAUCAUAUGGUUGGUCGUGUGGGUCAUAAGCCGUAUGGCAAACCAUGUAGGUCACAUGCCCGUAUGAGUCACAAGGGUGUGUGUUAGGUCGUGUGGGCCACACAGGCUGGGCCAAUUAGGUCGUGUGGGCUACCAGCUGUGUGGGACCAUUUUUUAGAAAAUUUUACCUAGGCCUGUUUGACUCCGAAAUUUGUAAUUAGACCUUUCGUGAGGUCUGUUUGGCUCAAAUAAGAUUCAAAGUGUGACAUCUAUCAAUAUAUGAUAUGGUUAAUGUAAUAGGCCAAAUCCGUCCGGGCCUAACACAAUGGCCCAAUGCCCAAAACAAGCCCAAAUAACCUAAAACUUUCGUCGACUGCCCCCUCCAUGCCCCCGUACACCCCGUACCUACGAGUAAGCCAAAACCACAGUAGCAAAUGCAAACAAAAGGCAACAGCAGAGCAGUAGCAAAGGGGAAAUAAUGAAAAUUUAUAUUUUCUUUCUUUCUUUUCUUAUUUUCCUUCUUUUCGGCUAUAAAGGCCUAAAAAUUUCAUUGUAUUUUAGUUACAAUACAGGCAUAAGAUAGAAAAAAGGAGAGCAAUAGAAUACAAAAAAUCAAGGUGUUUCUUUCUGUUCCGUUUUCUCCAUUUCUUUUGCAAAUCCAGUUUCGAAUAUAACAUAUAUAUAGAUAUUCAAAGAAGACAUAAAGGGACUCUUUUUGAGAUCAGGGGUUUUAGUUUCAUUUGUUUUUUUUUUUUUUUUUGCUUAGAUAGAUAAAAAUUUUAGUAAAAAAGGAGGAGAAAAUUUACCUGUGUUUUGGGGGUUUCGGACUGGUGCCAUGGCGGAGGCAGAGGCGGAGGCGUCGAACGCCGAUGAACGCCGAAAUCGGCUAAGACCGACACGCUAUGGGCAUCGUCUCCCCCUCUCCCUCUUUUCCCUUUCUUUUUCCCUUUUCAAUCUGCAGAAACAUUCUAGGCUUCCCCUUUCCUUUUUUUUUUUUUAUAUCUGUUGAAGCGCUUAGGCUUUUAAGAGAUUUUGUCCUCUUUUAAUUGGCAACACAAAGUGACGCCGUUUAUGGCUUGUAUUUGUAGCCUUGAAAUGGAG